CAGUCGCCACGGGAAUACGAAGGGGGCUAGCGUUGUUCGGAAUCACUGGGCGUAAAGGGUGCGUAGGCGGGCAUUUAAGUCAGGGGUGAAAUCCCGAGGCUCAACCUCGGAACUGCCCUUGAUACUGGAUGUCUUGAGUCCGGAAGAGGUGAGUGGAACUGCGAGUGUAGAGGUGAAGUUCGUAGAUAUUAGCAAGAACACCGGUGGCGAAGGCGGCUCACUGGUCCGGAACUGACGCUGAGGCACGACAGCGUGGGGAGCAAACAGGAUUAGAUACCCCCGUAGUCCCUGUCUCUUAUAC
This 301-nucleotide ribosomal RNA is filed under the name uncultured bacterium. Its description in RNAcentral is "partial 16S ribosomal RNA". It matches the Rfam family "Bacterial small subunit ribosomal RNA", at positions 509 to 807 of the family's 1533-position model. The record is from RNAcentral.